AUUGAACGCUGGCGGCAGGCUUAACACAUGCAAGUCGAGCGGGGGAAGGUAGCUUGCUACCGGACCUAGCGGCGGACGGGUGAGUAAUGCUUAGGAAUCUGCCUAUUAGUGGGGGACAACAUCUCGAAAGGGAUGCUAAUACCGCAUACGUCCUACGGGAGAAAGUAGGGGAUCUUCGGACCUUGCGCUAAUAGAUGAGCCUAAGUCAGAUUAGCUAGUUGGUGGGGUAAAGGCCUACGAAGGCGACGAUCUGUAGCGGGUCUGAGAGGAUGAUCCGCCACACUGGGACGGAGACACGGCCCAGACUCCUACGGGAGGCAGCAGUGGGGAAUAUUGGACAAUGGGGGGAACCCUGAUCCAGCCAUGCCGCGUGUGUGAAGAAGGCCUUAUGGUUGUAAAGCACUUUAAGCGAGGAGGAGGCUACUUUAGUUAAUACCUAGAGAUAGUGGACGUUACUCGCAGAAUAAGCACCGGCUAACUCUGUGCCAGCAGCCGCAGUAA
Molecule: ribosomal RNA, 501 nt
Filed under: uncultured bacterium
Lineage: Bacteria
Description: partial 16S ribosomal RNA
Rfam family: Bacterial small subunit ribosomal RNA
Source: RNAcentral